UAGGGAAUCUUCGGCAAUGGACGAAAGUCUGACCGAGCAACGCCGCGUGAGUGAAGAAGGUUUUCGGAUCGUAAAACUCUGUUGUUAGAGAAGAACAAGGAUGAGAGUAGAAUGUUCAUCCCUUGACGGUAUCUAACCAGAAAGCCACGGCUAACUACGUGCCAGCAGCCGCGGUAAUACGUAGGUGGCAAGCGUUGUCCGGAUUUAUUGGGCGUAAAGCGAGCGCAGGCGGUUUCUUAAGUCUGAUGUGAAAGCCCCCGGCUCAACCGGGGAGGGUCAUUGGUUACUGGGAAACUUGAGUGCAGAAGAGGAGAGUGGAAUUCCAUGUGUAGCGGUGAAAUGCGUAGAUAUAUGGAGGAACACCAGUGGCGAAGGCCGCUCUCUGGUCUGUAACUGACGCUGAGGCUCGAAAGCGUGGGGAGCAAACAGG
RNAcentral lists this ribosomal RNA (430 nucleotides) under Fusobacteriota bacterium. Its description in RNAcentral is "Fusobacteria bacterium partial 16S ribosomal RNA". It matches the Rfam family "Bacterial small subunit ribosomal RNA", at positions 355 to 776 of the family's 1533-position model. The record is from RNAcentral. Lineage: Bacteria; Fusobacteriati; Fusobacteriota.